RNAcentral lists this ribosomal RNA (649 nucleotides) under Bacillus cereus. RNAcentral describes it as "bacterial SSU rRNA". It matches the Rfam family "Bacterial small subunit ribosomal RNA", at positions 113 to 747 of the family's 1533-position model. Lineage: Bacteria; Bacillati; Bacillota; Bacilli; Caryophanales; Bacillaceae. The record is from RNAcentral.
ACACGUGGGUAACCUGCCCAUAAGACUGGGAUAACUCCGGGAAACCGGGGCUAAUACCGGAUAACAUUUUGAACCGCAUGGUUCGAAAUUGAAAGGCGGCUUCGGCUGUCACUUAUGGAUGGACCCGCGUCGCAUUAGCUAGUUGGUGAGGUAACGGCUCACCAAGGCAACGAUGCGUAGCCGACCUGAGAGGGUGAUCGGCCACACUGGGACUGAGACACGGCCCAGACUCCUACGGGAGGCAGCAGUAGGGAAUCUUCCGCAAUGGACGAAAGUCUGACGGAGCAACGCCGCGUGAGUGAUGAAGGCUUUCGGGUCGUAAAACUCUGUUGUUAGGGAAGAACAAGUGCUAGUUGAAUAAGCUGGCACCUUGACGGUACCUAACCAGAAAGCCACGGCUAACUACGUGCCAGCAGCCGCGGUAAUACGUAGGUGGCAAGCGUUAUCCGGAAUUAUUGGGCGUAAAGCGCGCGCAGGUGGUUUCUUAAGUCUGAUGUGAAAGCCCACGGCUCAACCGUGGAGGGUCAUUGGAAACUGGGAGACUUGAGUGCAGAAGAGGAAAGUGGAAUUCCAUGUGUAGCGGUGAAAUGCGUAGAGAUAUGGAGGAACACCAGUGGCGAAGGCGACUUUCUGGUCUGUAACUGACACU